RNAcentral lists this ribosomal RNA (416 nucleotides) under uncultured bacterium. RNAcentral describes it as "bacterial SSU rRNA". It matches the Rfam family "Bacterial small subunit ribosomal RNA", at positions 359 to 776 of the family's 1533-position model. The record is from RNAcentral.
AAUUGGUCAAUGGGCGAGAGCCUGAACCAGACAAGUCGUGUGAGGGACGACUGCCCUAUGGGUUGUAAACCUCUUUUGUAUGGGGGGAAUAAGCUUUACGAGAAGAGUGAUGACAGUAACAUACGAAUAAGCAUCGGCUAACUCCGUGCCAGCAGCCGCGGUAAUACGGAGGAUGCGAGCGUUAUCCGGAUUUAUUGGGUUUAAAGGGUGCGUAGGCGGCAUUAUAAGUUAGUGGUAAAAUAUUGGUGCUUCACCUCACUACGCCAUUAAUACUGUAGAGCUAGAGAACAGACGAGGUAGGCGGAAUAAGUUAAGUAGCGGUGAACUGCAUAGAUAUAACUUAGAACACCGAUAGCGAAGGCAGCUUACCAGACUGAGUCUGACGCUGAUGCACGAGAGCAUGGGUAGCGAACAGG